GACGGUUCCUUCGCUGCGGUUUCGCUAGAUUACAAAUAACAACAGUGGCCCGUCCACCGUGCGAAGUAUGUCCGUUUGUUUUUUUCUUGACAUUUGUAAUUAAUAUUAAUACCCCCCCCCCUCCCCCAAAGAUCCUAUUUACGCCACCGUGCACCAGUUUUGUGAACCGGACCGACGAUAUUUUUAAAAUAAUGUUUUCAGAUAAAAUUACACGUACGUUACACACUUC
Cinara cedri is the source of this 229-nucleotide non-coding RNA. The record is from the annotation of a GenBank genome assembly. Lineage: Eukaryota; Metazoa; Arthropoda; Insecta; Hemiptera; Aphididae.